GCCUGGCUGGCUCAGUCGGUUAAGGGUCUGACUUAGGCUCAGGUCAUGAUCACACGGUUCAUGGGUUUGAGCCCCGUGUCAGGCU
This is a non-coding RNA of Felis catus (domestic cat), 85 nucleotides long. Lineage: Eukaryota; Metazoa; Chordata; Mammalia; Carnivora; Felidae. The record is from Rfam.